This 429-nucleotide ribosomal RNA is filed under the name uncultured prokaryote. RNAcentral describes it as "bacterial SSU rRNA". It matches the Rfam family "Bacterial small subunit ribosomal RNA", at positions 355 to 796 of the family's 1533-position model. The record is from RNAcentral.
UGGGGAAUCUUGCUCAAUGGGCGCAAGCCUGAAGCAGCGACGCCGCGUGUGGGAAGAAGGUCUUCGGAUUGUAUACCACUUUCAGGAGGGAAGAAGCGCAAGUGACGGUACCUCCAGAAGAAGCCCCGGCCAACUACGUGCCAGCAGCCGCGGUAAUACGUAGGGGGCAAGCGUUGCCCGGAAUUAUUGGGCGUAAAGAGCGUGUAGGCGGCCUGGUAAGUCUGCCGUGAAAACCUGGGGCUCAACCCUGGGCGUGCGGUGGAUACUGCUAGGCUAGAGGAUGGUAGAGGCGAGUGGAAUUCCCGGUGUAGCGGUGAAAUGCGCAGAUAUCGGGAGGAACACCAGUAGCGAAGGCGGCUCGCUGGGCCAUACCUGACGCUGAGACGCGAAAGCUAGGGGAGCAAACAGGAUUAGAUACCCCUGUAGUCC